RNAcentral lists this ribosomal RNA (148 nucleotides) under uncultured eukaryote. RNAcentral describes it as "partial small subunit ribosomal RNA". It matches the Rfam family "Eukaryotic small subunit ribosomal RNA", at positions 1296 to 1462 of the family's 1831-position model. The record is from RNAcentral.
AGUUGGUGGAGUGAUUUGUCUGGUUAAUUCCGUUAACGAACGAGACCUCAGCCUGCUAAAUAGUGGCAGUAUCCUCACGGAUGCUUCGUCGACUUCUUAGAGGGACUAUCAGCGUUUAGCUGAUGGAAGUUUGAGGCAAUAACAGGUC